RNAcentral lists this ribosomal RNA (1066 nucleotides) under uncultured bacterium. RNAcentral describes it as "bacterial SSU rRNA". It matches the Rfam family "Bacterial small subunit ribosomal RNA", at positions 462 to 1533 of the family's 1533-position model. The record is from RNAcentral.
UUUGCUAAUGACGGUACCAGCAGAAGAAGCACCGGCUAACUACGUGCCAGCAGCCGCGGUAAUACGUAGGGUGCGAGCGUUAAUCGGAAUUACUGGGCGUAAAGCGUGCGCAGGCGGAUUGUUAAGCAAGACGUGAAAUCCCCGGGCUUAACCUGGGAAUGGCGUUUUGAACUGGCAGUCUAGAGUGCGUCAGAGGGGGGUGGAAUUCCACGUGUAGCAGUGAAAUGCGUAGAGAUGUGGAGGAACACCGAUGGCGAAGGCAGCCCCCUGGGAUGACACUGACGCUCAUGUACGAAAGCGUGGGUAGCAAACAGGAUUAGAUACCCUGGUAGUCCACGCCCUAAACGAUGUCAACUGGUUGUUGGGGGAGUGAAAUCCCUUAGUAACGAAGCUAACGCGUGAAGUUGACCGCCUGGGGAGUACGGUCGCAAGAUUAAAACUCAAAGGAAUUGACGGGGACCCGCACAAGCGGUGGAUGAUGUGGAUUAAUUCGAUACAACGCGAAAAACCUUACCUACCCUUGACAUGUCCAGAACCCUGAAGAGAUUUGGGGGUGCCCGAAAGGGAAUUGGAACACAGGUGCUGCAUGGCUGUCGUCAGCUCGUGUCGUGAGAUGUUGGGUUAAGUCCCGCAACGAGCGCAACCCUUAUCAUUAGUUGCUACGCAAGGGCACUCUAAUGAGACUGCCGGUGACAAACCGGAGGAAGGUGGGGAUGACGUCAAGUCCUCAUGGCCCUUAUGGGUAGGGCUUCACACGUCAUACAAUGGUCGGUACAGAGGGUUGCCAAGCCGCGAGGUGGAGCCAAUCCCAGAAAGCCGAUCGUAGUCCGGAUUGUUCUCUGCAACUCGAGAGCAUGAAGUCGGAAUCGCUAGUAAUCGCGGAUCAGCAUGUCGCGGUGAAUACGUUCCCGGGUCUUGUACACACCGCCCGUCACACCAUGGGAGUGGAAUCUGGCAGAAGUAGGUAGCCUAACCGCAAGGGGGGCGCUUACCACGCUGGGUUUCAUGACUGGGGUGAAGUCGUAACAAGGUAGCCGAAUCUCUGAAGAUCCGCGCGACCGGUCAC